AGCGAACGCUGGCGGUAGGCCUAACACAUGCAAGUCGAACGGCAGCACAGGAGAGCUUGCUCUCUGGGUGGCGAGUGGCGGACGGGUGAGGAAUACAUCGGAAUCUACUUUUUCGUGGGGGAUAACGCAGGGAAACUUACGCUAAUACCGCAUACGACCUACGGGUGAAAGCAGGGGAUCUUCGGACCUUGCGCGAUUGAAUGAGCCGAUGUCGGAUUAGCUAGUUGGCGGGGUAAAGGCCCACCAAGGCGACGAUCCGUAGCUGGUCUGAGAGGAGGAUCAGCCACACGGGAACUGAGACACGGUCCAGACUCCUACGGGAGGCAGCAGUGGGGAAUAUUGGACAAUGGGCGCAAGCCUGAUCCAGCCAUACCGCGUGGGUGAAGAAGGCCUUCGGGUUGUAAAGCCCUUUUGUUGGGAAAGAAAUCCAGCUGGUUAAUACCCGGUUGGGAUGACGGUACCCAAAGAAUAAGCACCGGCUAACUUCGUGCCAGCCGCCGCCGUAA
This 506-nucleotide ribosomal RNA is filed under the name uncultured bacterium. RNAcentral describes it as "partial 16S ribosomal RNA". It matches the Rfam family "Bacterial small subunit ribosomal RNA", at positions 29 to 523 of the family's 1533-position model. The record is from RNAcentral.